AAUCAACGCUGGCGGCGUGCCUCAGACAUGCAAGUCGAACGAGAAAGUUCCCUUCGGGGAAUGAGUAAAGUGGCGCACGGGUGAGUAACACGUAGGUAAUCUACCUUCGGGUGGGGAAUAACCCAGGGAAACUUGGGCUAACACCGCAUAAUGCAGCGGCACCACAUGGUGACAGUUGUUAAAGCGGGGGGAUUUUAGGACCUCGCGCCUGAAGAGGAGCCUGCGGCGGAUUAGCUUGUUGGUAAGGUAACGGCUUACCAAGGCGACGAUCCGUAGCCGGCCUGAGAGGGCGGUCGGCCACACUGACACUGACAUACGGGUCAGACUCCUACGGGAGGCAGCAGUCGGGAAUUUUGGGCAAUGGGCGAAAGCCUGACCCAGCAACGCCGCGUGAAGGAUGAAAUCCCUCGGGA
RNAcentral lists this ribosomal RNA (413 nucleotides) under uncultured bacterium. RNAcentral describes it as "bacterial SSU rRNA". It matches the Rfam family "Bacterial small subunit ribosomal RNA", at positions 32 to 423 of the family's 1533-position model. The record is from RNAcentral.